This 89-nucleotide transfer RNA is filed under the name Candidatus Nomurabacteria bacterium. RNAcentral describes it as "tRNA-Ser". It matches the Rfam family "tRNA". Rfam says of the family: Transfer RNA (tRNA) molecules are approximately 80 nucleotides in length. Their secondary structure includes four short double-helical elements and three loops (D, anti-codon, and T loops). Lineage: Bacteria; Candidatus Nomuraibacteriota. RNAcentral also lists the same sequence under 1 other name. The record is from RNAcentral.
GGAGGGUUGCCUGAGUGGUCGAAAGGGCUGCACUCGAAACGCAGUGUACGGUCUCCGUACCGAGGGUUCGAAUCCCUCACCCUCCGCCA